RNAcentral lists this ribosomal RNA (119 nucleotides) under Pteropus alecto (black flying fox). The record is from RNAcentral. Lineage: Eukaryota; Metazoa; Chordata; Mammalia; Chiroptera; Pteropodidae.
GUCUACGGCCAUGCCACCCUGAACAAGACCAAUCCUGUCUGAUCUCAGAAGCUAAGCAGGCUCAGGCCUGAUUAGUACUUGGAUGAGAGACCACCUGGGAAGAGCAGGUGCUGUAGGCA